CAGCAGUAGCCGCGGUAAUACGAAGGGGGCUAGCGUUGUUCGGAUUUACUGGGCGUAAAGCGCACGUAGGCGGAUCGAUCAGUCAGGGGUGAAAUCCCAGAGCUCAACUCUGGAACUGCCUUUGAUACUGUCGAUCUGGAGUAUGGAAGAGGUGAGUGGAAUUCCGAGUGUAGAGGUGAAAUUCGUAGAUAUUCGGAGGAACACCAGUGGCGAAGGCGGCUCACUGGUCCAUUACUGACGCUGAGGUGCGAAAGCGUGGGGAGCAAACAGGAUUAGAUACCCGGGUAGUCCCUGUCUCUUAUAC
This 304-nucleotide ribosomal RNA is filed under the name uncultured bacterium. RNAcentral describes it as "partial 16S ribosomal RNA". It matches the Rfam family "Bacterial small subunit ribosomal RNA", at positions 506 to 807 of the family's 1533-position model. The record is from RNAcentral.